UACACAUGCAGUCGAGCGGGGGAAGGUAGCUUGCUACCGGACCUAGCGGCGGACGGGUGAGUAAUGCUUAGGAAUCUGCCUAUUAGUGGGGGACAACAUCUCGAAAGGGAUGCUAAUACCGCAUACGUCCUACGGGAGAAAGCAGGGGAUCUUCGGACCUUGCGCUAAUAGAUGAGCCUAAGUCGGAUUAGCUAGUUGGUGGGGUAAAGGCCUACCAAGGCGACGAUCUGUAGCGGGUCUGAGAGGAUGAUCCGCCACACUGGGACUGAGACACGGCCCAGACUCCUACGGGAGGCAGCAGUGGGGAAUAUUGGACAAUGGGGGGAACCCUGAUCCAGCCAUGCCGCGUGUGUGAAGAAGGCCUUAUGGUUGUAAAGCACUUUAAGCGAGGAGGAGGCUACUCUAGUUAAUACCUAGAGAUAGUGGACGUUACUCGCAGAAUAAGCACCGGCUAACUCUGUGCCAGCAGCCGCGGUAAUACAGAGGGUGCGAGCGUUAAUCGGAUUUACUGGGCGUAAAGCGUGCGUAGGCGGCUUAUUAAGUCGGAUGUGAAAUCCCCGAGCUUAACUUGGGAAUUGCAUUCGAUACUGGUGAGCUAGAGUAUGGGAGAGGAUGGUAGAAUUCCAGGUGUAGCGGUGAAAUGCGUAGAGAUCUGGAGGAAUACCGAUGGCGAAGGCAGCCAUCUGGCCUAAUACUGACGCUGAGGUACGAAAGCAUGGGGAGCAAACAGGAUUAGAUACCCUGGNUAGUCCAUGCCGUAAACGAUGUCUACUAGCCGUUGGGGCCUUUGANGCUUUAUGGCGCACUAACGCGAUAAUAGACCGCCUGGGGAGUACGGUCGCAGACUAAAACUCAAAUGAAUUGACGGGGCCCGCACAAGCGGUGGAGCAUGUGGUUUAAUUCNAUGCNACGCGAAGAACCUUACCUGGGCCUUGACAUACUANAACUUUCCAGAGAUGGAUGGUGCCUUCGGAUCUAGAUACGGUGCUGCAUGGCUGUCGUCGCUC
RNAcentral lists this ribosomal RNA (1007 nucleotides) under Acinetobacter baumannii. RNAcentral describes it as "bacterial SSU rRNA". It matches the Rfam family "Bacterial small subunit ribosomal RNA", at positions 50 to 1061 of the family's 1533-position model. Lineage: Bacteria; Pseudomonadati; Pseudomonadota; Gammaproteobacteria; Moraxellales; Moraxellaceae. The record is from RNAcentral.